GACGAACGCUGGCGGCGUGCUUAACACAUGCAAGUCGAACGGAAAGGCCCUGCUUUUGUGGGGUGCUCGAGUGGCGAACGGGUGAGUAACACGUGAGUAACCUGCCCUUGACUUUGGGAUAACUUCAGGAAACUGGGGCUAAUACCGGAUAGGAGCUCCUGCUGCAUGGUGGGGGUUGGAAAGUUUCGGCGGUUGGGUAUGGACUCGCGGCUUAUCAGCUUGUUGGUGGGGUAGUGGCUUACCAAGGCUUUGACGGGUAGCCGGCCUGAGAGGGUGACCGGCCACAUUGGGACUGAGAUACGGCCCAGAAUCCUACGGGAGGCAGCAGUGGGGAAUAUUGCACAAUGGGCGGAAGCCUGAUGCAGCAACGCCGCGUGCGGGAUGACGGCCUUCGGGUUGUAAACCGCUUUCGCCUGUGACGAAGCGUGAGUGACGGUAAUGGGUAAAGAAGCACCGGCUAACUACGUG
This 468-nucleotide ribosomal RNA is filed under the name uncultured bacterium. RNAcentral describes it as "partial 16S ribosomal RNA". It matches the Rfam family "Bacterial small subunit ribosomal RNA", at positions 28 to 507 of the family's 1533-position model. The record is from RNAcentral.